Molecule: ribosomal RNA, 304 nt
Filed under: Acidovorax facilis
Lineage: Bacteria; Pseudomonadati; Pseudomonadota; Betaproteobacteria; Burkholderiales; Comamonadaceae
Description: bacterial SSU rRNA
Rfam family: Bacterial small subunit ribosomal RNA
Source: RNAcentral
UGGCUGUCGUCAGCUCGUGUCGUGAGAUGUUGGGUUAAGUCCCGCAACGAGCGCAACCCUUGUCAUUAGUUGCUACAUUUAGUUGGGCACUCUAAUGAGACUGCCGGUGACAAACCGGAGGAAGGUGGGGAUGACGUCAAGUCCUCAUGGCCCUUAUAGGUGGGGCUACACACGUCAUACAAUGGCUGGUACAGAGGGUUGCCAACCCGCGAGGGGGAGCCAAUCCCAUAAAGCCAGUCGUAGUCCGGAUCGCAGUCUGCAACUCGACUGCGUGAAGUCGGAAUCGCUAGUAAUCGCGGAUCAG